UCUGGCUGUAUACAGGUUCACAGGAGUGAGCCUGAAACAACCCAAGGAUGUCAAAGAUAAAAAGAACAGAGAUCUUACAGUCAGUCACGGAACAUGAGAUGCAGCAAGGAGAGAAAGCACAAGAGAAAAGAUGCUAAAAAGAGUCCCUUCAGAAGUAACCAAGCUUCAGGACCUGGGUCUGUGAGCAUGGAACAGAGAUGCCAACUAUUUGUGGACUUGCAAAUCCAGUUUUGGGAAUGAGAGCCAGUCGUGCCUGACUCUGCUGGGUGGCUGUGGUGGCCUACCCGGGAUCAACUGGACUCAACCUGGGCUCUUGGGCGGUUCCAGAGAGCAGGUAAGGAGCUAGGGUCAUCUGGGAACGAGAGCGUCAAGUGAGAAGAUGCUUUCGUCAGACCGGCCUGCGGGCAAGUCUUUGGGUGUUCUGUUAAUUCAUGAUUGAUGUGGGAAGACCCAGCCUGUCAUGGGUGGAGCCACUCCUGUGCAGGUGGUUCCAGGUUAUAUAGAAAGCCAUCUGGAAAGGCCAUGGGGCUCAAGGGUAGCCGUAUUCCUCCUUGGUUUUGCUUCAGGUCCUUCCUCCAGGUUCCUGCCCCGUGUUACUUCCAUGAUGGGCUGUGGUUGGGAUGCGUUAGCCAACAGACCUUUUCCUUUACAAGAUGCUUUUGGUCAGUGUUUUAUCACAAACACCAAGCUGUGGCAGUUACUGGAGGAGGAAUUUGGCAUCAGUCAAAUUCCUUAGUCUGAUGUAUCCGAUAAGAUUUUUUAAAUUUUUUAAUCUUUUGACUGGCUUAUUUCACUUAAUGUCUUCAAGGUCUAUUCACAUUGUAUCAUGAUUUUCUUCACUUUUGAUGCUGAAUAAUAUUCUAUUGUAUGUGUGUGCUGCAUUUUUAAAUACACUUAUCCAAUGCUGAUGAAUAUCAGUGGCUUUUCUCUUUUAGGUGUUGUAAAUAGUGCUUCUGUGAAGAAGGCUGUGCAGCAUCGUUUGAGGAUACAUCUUCAGUUCCUUUAGAAUCUGGAUGACUUUCUUUGCAUCACCACUGGAAAUUCGUUGUGUGAGUGAGGCACUCCUGUCAGCGGGGCUGGCUAACCAGGGGCCCAAACAACAACUCCUUGGAAGCUCCAAAUGAGGACAAAUCACUCCAUGUGUCUCUGGCUUCCCAGCGCCCCCUGGGCUUCCCUGGAGACCUUUCUUGCUCGUGGCCACCCAGGAGUUUUGCCUGUAGAGGAGUUUAUCCAUCCAUGUUACUUUUACUUUGG
Non-coding RNA from Arvicanthis niloticus (Nile rat), 1254 nucleotides. NCBI's taxonomy places the organism in Eukaryota, Metazoa, Chordata, Mammalia, Rodentia, Muridae. The record is from RefSeq and is a predicted model, not a curated record.